RNAcentral lists this ribosomal RNA (807 nucleotides) under uncultured Thauera sp. RNAcentral's name for it is "bacterial SSU rRNA". It matches the Rfam family "Bacterial small subunit ribosomal RNA", at positions 28 to 831 of the family's 1533-position model. The record is from RNAcentral. Lineage: Bacteria; Pseudomonadati; Pseudomonadota; Betaproteobacteria; Rhodocyclales; Zoogloeaceae.
AUUGAACGCUGGCGGCAUGCUUUACACAUGCAAGUCGAACGGCAGCGGGGGCUUCGGCCUGCCGGCGAGUGGCGAACGGGUGAGUAAUGCAUCGGAACGUGCCCAUGUCGUGGGGGAUAACGUAUCGAAAGGUACGCUAAUACCGCAUACGUCCUGAGGGAGAAAGCGGGGGAUCGCAAGACCUCGCGCGAUUGGAGCGGCCGAUGUCGGAUUAGCUAGUAGGUGAGGUAAAGGCUCACCUAGGCGACGAUCCGUAGCGGGUCUGAGAGGAUGAUCCGCCACACUGGGACUGAGACACGGCCCAGACUCCUACGGGAGGCAGCAGUGGGGAAUUUUGGACAAUGGGGGCAACCCUGAUCCAGCCAUGCCGCGUGAGUGAAGAAGGCCUUCGGGUUGUAAAGCUCUUUCGGCCGGGAAGAAAUCGGCGACUCUAACAUAGUCGCUGGAUGACGGUACCGGACUAAGAAGCACCGGCUAACUACGUGCCAGCAGCCGCGGUAAUACGUAGGGUGCGAGCGUUAAUCGGAAUUACUGGGCGUAAAGCGUGCGCAGGCGGUUUUGUAAGACAGAUGUGAAAUCCCCGGGCUUAACCUGGGAACUGCGUUUGUGACUGCAAGGCUAGAGUACGGCAGAAGGGGGUGGAAUUCCACGUGUAGCAGUGAAAUGCGUAGAGAUGUGGAGGAACACCGAUGGCGAAAGCAGCCCCCUGGGCCUGUACUGACGCUCAUGCACGAAAGCGUGGGGAGCAACAGGAUUAGAUACCCUGGUAGUCCACGCCCUAACGAUGUCGACUAGUCGGUCGGAGCA